Molecule: ribosomal RNA, 449 nt
Filed under: uncultured bacterium
Lineage: Bacteria
Description: partial 16S ribosomal RNA
Rfam family: Bacterial small subunit ribosomal RNA
Source: RNAcentral
AACGAACGCUGGCGGCAUGCCUAACACAUGCAAGUCGAACGAGACCUUCGGGUCUAGUGGCGCACGGGUGCGUAACGCGUGGGAAUCUGCCCUUGGGUACGGAAUAACAGUUAGAAAUGACUGCUAAUACCGUAUAAUGACUUCGGUCCAAAGAUUUAUCGCCCAGGGAUGAGCCCGCGUAGGAUUAGCUUGUUGGUGAGGUAAAGGCUCACCAAGGCGACGAUCCUUAGCUGGUCUGAGAGGAUGAUCAGCCACACUGGGACUGAGACACGGCCCAGACUCCUACGGGAGGCAGCAGUGGGGAAUAUUGGACAAUGGGCGCAAGCCUGAUCCAGCAAUGCCGCGUGAGUGAUGAAGGCCUUAGGGUUGUAAAGCUCUUUUACCCGGGAAGAUAAUGACUGUACCGGGAGAAUAAGCCCCGGCUAACUCCGUGCCAGCCGCCGCGGUAA